AACGGGGGGGGCCAGCGUUAUUCAGUUACUAGGCGUAAAGGGUGCGUAGGCGUCUAUUUUUGAGUUUUUGUAAAAGGCUAAUGCUAAAAAUUAGCAUACAAUUGCUACUUUAUAGAUUGAGUUAUGAACGGGUUAUAUAGAAUUUUUGGUGUAAGGGUUAAAUCUUACGAUUCCAAAAAGAAUACUUGUAGUGAAGACGAAUAUCUAGUUUAUAACUGACGUUGAGGCACGGAGGUAUGGGUAGCAAACAGG
RNAcentral lists this ribosomal RNA (252 nucleotides) under uncultured bacterium. RNAcentral describes it as "partial 16S ribosomal RNA". It matches the Rfam family "Bacterial small subunit ribosomal RNA", at positions 524 to 776 of the family's 1533-position model. The record is from RNAcentral.